This 113-nucleotide ribosomal RNA is filed under the name Diaphorina citri (Asian citrus psyllid). The record is from RNAcentral. Lineage: Eukaryota; Metazoa; Arthropoda; Insecta; Hemiptera; Psyllidae.
GCCAGUGGUGAUGGCAAGCUGAAUACACCAGUUCCUGUCGGAUUACUAAAGCAACGUUACGCGUGGUUAGUAUCCGGAUGGGUGACCAUCUGGGCAAUAGCGUGCUACUGGCU